GCCACAGGCCCCGGUAAGCGCGCCAUUGCUUAAGUCGUGUCAUGAUUUGCUCACGACUACCAUCUGCUUCUAUCGAGCAGUUCAAUUCGUUUCACGUAUGUCUUUGCCUCUGCCCUUCAGCAGAAACGUCUUAUAGAGAUUUGUGUUCCUCCGCGAAGGCCGUUCUCGCUCAGAGAUCGCUUCCCCGGCGGGAGACGCCCCUUUCGGGGAGGGCCUCCCGGCGAGCCACAGUGGGAGGUAGUUUCUUCUGGUUAAAAAAGCCGGUAACUCCGUAUGAUUUCACUCGUAGAGGGGGCCUGCGGAGGGAUCAUUACUGAGUUACCGCUCUAUAACCCUUUGUGAACAUACCUACAACUGUUGCUUCGGCGGGUAGGCCGUCCCCUGAAAAGGACGCCUCCCGGCCCGGACCGGACCCCCUGUGGGGCCGGACUCGGCGCCCGCCGGAGGAUAACCAAACGCUAUUUUAACGACGUUUCUUCUGAGUGGCAUAAGCAAAAUAAUCAAAACUUUUAACAACGGAUCUCUUGGUUCUGGCAUCGAUGAAGAACGCAGCGAAAUGCGAUAAGUAAUGUGAAUUGCAGAAUUCAGUGAAUCAUCGAAUCUUUGAACGCACAUUGCGCCCGCCAGCAUUCUGGCGGGCAUGCCUGUUCGAGCGUCAUUUCAACCCUCAAGCUCUGCUUGGUGUUGGGGCUCUACGGUCGACGUAGGCCCUCAAAGGUAGUGGCGGACCCUCCCGGAGCCUCCUUGCGUAGUAACAUUCGUCUCGCACUGGGAUCCGGAGGGACUCUUGCCGUAAAACCCCCCAAUUUUCAAGGUGACCUCGGAUCAUGUAAGCUGACCGAAUUUG
Molecule: ribosomal RNA, 847 nt
Filed under: Colletotrichum cymbidiicola
Lineage: Eukaryota; Fungi; Ascomycota; Sordariomycetes; Glomerellales; Glomerellaceae
Description: eukaryotic LSU rRNA
Rfam family: 5.8S ribosomal RNA (bases 505-658)
Source: RNAcentral